GUGGGUAUAGUUCAGUGGUAGAGCAUGUGCUUAGCACACACAAGGUCCUGGGCUCAAUCCCCAGUACCCUUC
Molecule: transfer RNA, 72 nt
Filed under: Camelus bactrianus (Bactrian camel)
Lineage: Eukaryota; Metazoa; Chordata; Mammalia; Artiodactyla; Camelidae
Also listed under: 2 other names
Rfam family: tRNA
About the family: Transfer RNA (tRNA) molecules are approximately 80 nucleotides in length. Their secondary structure includes four short double-helical elements and three loops (D, anti-codon, and T loops).
Source: Rfam by way of RNAcentral